GAUGAACGCUGGCGGCGUGCUUAACACAUGCAAGUCGAACGGAAAGGCCCAAGCUUGCUUGGGUACUCGAGUGGCGAACGGGUGAGUAACACGUGGGUGAUCUGCCCUGCACUUCGGGAUAAGCCUGGGAAACUGGGUCUAAUACCGGAUAGGACCACUUCUUGGAUGUUGUGGUGGAAAGUUUUUUCGGUGUGGGAUGAGCUCGCGGCCUAUCAGCUUGUUGGUGGGGUAAUGGCCUACCAAGGCGUCGACGGGUAGCCGGCCUGGGAGGGUGUACGGCCACCUUGGGACUGAGAGACGGCCCAGACGCGUACGGGAGGCAGCAGUGGGGAGUCUUGCACAAUGGGGGCCAGCCUGAUGCAGCGACGUUGGGUUGGUGAUGACGUGUUUCUGGUGGUAAACGCCGUUCGCUAUGGACAAAGCGUUUUGUGACGGUACCUGGAGAAAAAGCACCGGCUAACUACGUG
This 467-nucleotide ribosomal RNA is filed under the name uncultured bacterium. RNAcentral describes it as "partial 16S ribosomal RNA". It matches the Rfam family "Bacterial small subunit ribosomal RNA", at positions 28 to 507 of the family's 1533-position model. The record is from RNAcentral.